RNAcentral lists this ribosomal RNA (500 nucleotides) under uncultured bacterium. Its description in RNAcentral is "partial 16S ribosomal RNA". It matches the Rfam family "Bacterial small subunit ribosomal RNA", at positions 30 to 523 of the family's 1533-position model. The record is from RNAcentral.
AUUGAACGCUGGCGGCAUGCCUUACACAUGCAAGUCGAACGGCAGCACGGGAGCAAUCCUGGUGGCGAGUGGCGAACGGGUGAGUAAUAUAUCGGAACGUGCCCAGUCGUGGGGGAUAACGCAGCGAAAGCUGUGCUAAUACCGCAUACGAUCUAAGGAUGAAAGCGGGGGAUCGCAAGACCUCGCGCGAUUGGAGCGGCCGAUAUCAGAUUAGCUAGUUGGUGGGGUAAAGGCCCACCAAGGCGACGAUCUGUAGCUGGUCUGAGAGGACGACCAGCCACACUGGAACUGAGACACGGUCCAGACUCCUACGGGAGGCAGCAGUGGGGAAUUUUGGACAAUGGGCGCAAGCCUGAUCCAGCAAUGCCGCGUGCAGGAUGAAGGCCUUCGGGUUGUAAACUGCUUUUGUACGGAACGAAACGGCCCUUUCUAAUACAGGGGGCUAAUGACGGUACCGUAAGAAUAAGCACCGGCUAACUACGUGCCAGCCGCCGCGGUAA